GAUGAACGCUGGCGGCGUGCCUAACACAUGCAAGUCGAGCGGAGAUCUUAAGGCGUACUUGUACAAAUUAAGAUUUUAGCGGCGGACGGGUGAGUAACACGUGAGCAAUCUGCCUUCUGCAGGGGAAUAACAUUGUGAAAACAGUGCUAAUACCGCAUGAAAUCCGACUGGGGCAUCCCGGACGGAUCAAAGGAGAAAUCCGGCAGAAGAUGAGCUCGCGUCCGAUUAGCUAGUUGGUGAGGUAAUGGCUCACCAAGGCGACGAUCGGUAGCCGAACUGAGAGGUUGAUCGGCCACAUUGGGACUGAGACACGGCCCAGACUCCUACGGGAGGCAG
Molecule: ribosomal RNA, 336 nt
Filed under: uncultured Bacillota bacterium
Lineage: Bacteria; Bacillati; Bacillota
Description: bacterial SSU rRNA
Rfam family: Bacterial small subunit ribosomal RNA
Source: RNAcentral